This 722-nucleotide ribosomal RNA is filed under the name Bacillus safensis. Its description in RNAcentral is "bacterial SSU rRNA". It matches the Rfam family "Bacterial small subunit ribosomal RNA", at positions 45 to 754 of the family's 1533-position model. Lineage: Bacteria; Bacillati; Bacillota; Bacilli; Caryophanales; Bacillaceae. The record is from RNAcentral.
UGCUAUAAUGCAGUCGAGCGAACAGAAGGGAGCUUGCUCCCGGAUGUUAGCGGCGGACGGGUGAGUAACACGUGGGUAACCUGCCUGUAAGACUGGGAUAACUCCGGGAAACCGGAGCUAAUACCGGAUAGUUCCUUGAACCGCAUGGUUCAAGGAUGAAAGACGGUUUCGGCUGUCACUUACAGAUGGACCCGCGGCGCAUUAGCUAGUUGGUGGGGUAAUGGCUCACCAAGGCGACGAUGCGUAGCCGACCUGAGAGGGUGAUCGGCCACACUGGGACUGAGACACGGCCCAGACUCCUACGGGAGGCAGCAGUAGGGAAUCUUCCGCAAUGGACGAAAGUCUGACGGAGCAACGCCGCGUGAGUGAUGAAGGUUUUCGGAUCGUAAAGCUCUGUUGUUAGGGAAGAACAAGUGCGAGAGUAACUGCUCGCACCUUGACGGUACCUAACCAGAAAGCCACGGCUAACUACGUGCCAGCAGCCGCGGUAAUACGUAGGUGGCAAGCGUUGUCCGGAAUUAUUGGGCGUAAAGGGCUCGCAGGCGGUUUCUUAAGUCUGAUGUGAAAGCCCCCGGCUCAACCGGGGAGGGUCAUUGGAAACUGGGAAACUUGAGUGCAGAAGAGGAGAGUGGAAUUCCACGUGUAGCGGUGAAAUGCGUAGAGAUGUGGAGGAACACCAGUGGCGAAGGCGACUCUCUGGUCUGUAACUGACGCUGAGGAGC